Molecule: ribosomal RNA, 253 nt
Filed under: uncultured bacterium
Lineage: Bacteria
Description: partial 16S ribosomal RNA
Rfam family: Bacterial small subunit ribosomal RNA
Source: RNAcentral
UACGAAGGGGGCUAGCGUUGCUCGGAAUCACUGGGCGUAAAGGGUGCGUAGGCGGGUUUUUAAGUCAGGGGUGAAAUCCUGGAGCUCAACUCCAGAACUGCCUUUGAUACUGAAGAGCUUGAGUUCGGGAGAGGUGAGUGGAACUGCGAGUGUAGAGGUGAAAUUCGUAGAUAUUCGCAAGAACACCAGUGGCGAAGGCGGCUCACUGGCCCGAUACUGACGCUGAUGCACGAAAGCGUGGGGAGCAAACAGG